GUGUUCAUUGAAAGGAGAGUCAGUUGGCAUCUCCCCUGCCAGGGACAAAACAGCCUUUGGGCCUACCUGCAACACAUACAGUUAAGACUACCCACUUCGGUGGAUAGUUACCCAAUUUU
This is a small nuclear RNA of Telopea speciosissima, 119 nucleotides long. The record is from RefSeq and is a predicted model, not a curated record. NCBI's taxonomy places the organism in Eukaryota, Viridiplantae, Streptophyta, Magnoliopsida, Proteales, Proteaceae.